GUGAUCGGCCAGGCAAUCGCCUUGGCCCGAAUAGGGCCGGGGAGGAAAGUCCGAACACCGCAGGGCAAGGUGCCCCGAAAGGAGGUCCCACCAGGACCUUUCAAUCGGGGGUUUCGGGAGCCAUAUCUCCCGGGAACGGAUAGUGUCACAGAAAACAUACCUCCCGGUGUCCGUUGGACAUCGAGAUACGGGUGAAAAGGUGGUGUAAGAGACCACCGCAUCGUUAGCAAUAACGAUGUCCCUCACGGGAUUCAGGCCGGUUCUCCGGUCUGGACAGGACAAACCCCGCCUGGUGCAAGACCGAGUAGGUCACGCAUCGAGUGGCCCGCUUGUCUCCCUCAC
Molecule: RNase P RNA, 342 nt
Filed under: Pseudomonadota bacterium
Lineage: Bacteria; Pseudomonadati; Pseudomonadota
Description: Proteobacteria bacterium (marine sediment metagenome) partial RNase P RNA component class A
Rfam family: Bacterial RNase P class A
About the family: Ribonuclease P (RNase P) is a ubiquitous endoribonuclease, found in archaea, bacteria and eukarya as well as chloroplasts and mitochondria. Its best characterised activity is the generation of mature 5'-ends of tRNAs by cleaving the 5'-leader elements of precursor-tRNAs. Cellular RNase Ps are ribonucleoproteins.
Source: RNAcentral